GGCCCCGUAGCUCAGAUGGAUAGAGCAGCGGUUUCCUAAACCGCGUGUCGGCAGUUCGAAUCUGCCCGGGGCCCCCA
This 77-nucleotide transfer RNA is filed under the name Acidobacteriota bacterium. RNAcentral describes it as "Acidobacteria bacterium (rhizosphere metagenome) tRNA-Arg". It matches the Rfam family "tRNA". Rfam says of the family: Transfer RNA (tRNA) molecules are approximately 80 nucleotides in length. Their secondary structure includes four short double-helical elements and three loops (D, anti-codon, and T loops). Further hydrogen bonds mediate the characteristic L-shaped molecular structure. tRNAs have two regions of fundamental functional importance: the anti-codon, which is responsible for specific mRNA codon recognition, and the 3' end, to which the tRNAs corresponding amino acid is attached (by aminoacyl-tRNA synthetases). tRNAs cope with the degeneracy of the genetic code in two manners: having more than one tRNA (with a specific anti-codon) for a particular amino acid; and 'wobble' base-pairing, i.e. permitting non-standard base-pairing at the 3rd anti-codon position. The record is from RNAcentral. Lineage: Bacteria; Pseudomonadati; Acidobacteriota.